UUCCUCUUUUUCUUUUCUUCUUUCUUUUUCUCUCCUCUCUUUCGGUGGACAGCAGGGCCUCCUUCCCAUUUUCUUUCCUUUUUCUUUCCUUCCUUCUCCCCUGCCGCACACAGCAGCUCCUUCUCUGCUCCAGCACCCGAUUCCCUCUUUCUUUUUCCUUCUCUUCCAUUUUCUUCCUCUCUUCAUCUCUGUCACGCCCACGCCCAUGAGAGAGGCCGAAAUGCUGAAAUGCCGAGAGAGAAAGAAUGGAUCGUGAGGGAGAGGUUUUAAAAUGGAUGCUGUCCUGCCAUGGGUAGAAGAAGGGAAGAUGAGGUUUUUUGGCCAUGGACGUCCGGUGAGGAUCAUGUUCGGAUUGGAGACUUUAAUUGGUUCUCCAAUGUAGAGUCCAAGUGACUAGAGUCCAAGGAGUGUUCGGGUUGGAGUCCAAUGCAGCCAAGAUGAUGUUUCUUUGGCUGCAGGUACUACGGUAUAGUCCAUGGGUCGAUAGCAGUGUGCUUGGGAUAUUAUGACUGAAGCUCACCGCGACGGUUGUAAUUGUCGGACCACGGGUUGUCCACUGUUUUAUAGGUUUGGUAUAGCUUGUGACGUUUGUGUCACAUAUUCUUUGUAAAGCCAUAGUUGUUUUGUAAAUAUUGUGUUAAUAAGACUCAUACAGGUAGAUGUUAAAUGGCUCUUUGUUGUAAUUAAUUUGUGAUAGAUGUAUAAGUUGUAAUUUCUGCUAUUCAGAUUUAUGUUUUCCGCUGCAUA
Long non-coding RNA from Alnus glutinosa, 747 nucleotides. RefSeq lists it as uncharacterized. The record is from RefSeq and is a predicted model, not a curated record. The transcript is spliced from 3 exons. NCBI's taxonomy places the organism in Eukaryota, Viridiplantae, Streptophyta, Magnoliopsida, Fagales, Betulaceae.